Molecule: ribosomal RNA, 400 nt
Filed under: uncultured bacterium
Lineage: Bacteria
Description: bacterial SSU rRNA
Rfam family: Bacterial small subunit ribosomal RNA
Source: RNAcentral
GGGGAAUAUUGGACAAUGGGCGCAAGCCUGAUCCAGCCAUGCCGCGUGAGUGAUGAAGGCCUUAGGGUUGUAAAGCUCUUUCACCGAUGAAGAUAAUGACGGUAGUCGGAGAAGAAGCCCCGGCUAACUUCGUGCCAGCAGCCGCGGUAAUACGAAGGGGGCUAGCGUUGUUCGGAAUUACUGGGCGUAAAGCGCACGUAGGCGGAUAUUUAAGUCAGGGGUGAAAUCCCGCAGCUCAACUGCGGAACUGCCUUUGAUACUGGGUAUCUUGAGUAUGGAAGAGGUAAGUGGAAUUCCGAGUGUAGAGGUGAAAUUCGUAGAUAUUCGGAGGAACACCAGUGGCGAAGGCGGCUUACUGGUCCAUUACUGACGCUGAGGUGCGAAAGCGUGGGGAGCAAAC